RNAcentral lists this ribosomal RNA (459 nucleotides) under uncultured bacterium. RNAcentral describes it as "partial 16S ribosomal RNA". It matches the Rfam family "Bacterial small subunit ribosomal RNA", at positions 338 to 795 of the family's 1533-position model. The record is from RNAcentral.
CCUACGGGAGGCUGCAGUGAGGAAUAUUGGUCAAUGGGCGAGAGCCUGAACCAGCCAAGUCGCGUGAGGGAGUACUGCCCUAUGGGUUGUAAACCUCUUUUGUCGGGGAGCAAAAGCCGGACGUGUCCGGCUGUGAGAGUACCCGAAGAAAAAGCAUCGGCUAACUCCGUGACAGCAGCCGCGGUAAUACGGAGGAUGCGAGCGUUAUCCGGAUUGAUUGGGUUUAAAGGGAGCGUAGGUGGAUUGUUAAGUCAGUUGUGAAAGUUUGCGGCUCAACCGUAAAAUUGCAGUUGAUACUGGCAGUCUUGAGUACAGUAGAGGUGGGCGGAAUUCGUGGUGUAGCGGUGAAAUGCUUAGAUAUCACGAAGAACUCCGAUUGCGAAGGCAUCUCACGAAUCCGCGAUUGACGCUGAUGCACGAAAGCGUGGGUAUCAAACAGGAUUAGAUACCCGAGUAGUC